GACGAACGCUGGCGGCGUGCUUAACACAUGCAAGUCGAACGGAAAGGCCCUGCUUUUGUGGGGUGCUCGAGUGGCGAACGGGUGAGUAACACGUGAGUAACCUGCCCUUGACUUUGGGAUAACUUCAGGAAACUGGGGCUAAUACCGGAUAGGAGCUCCUGCUGCAUGGUGGGGGUUGGAAAGUUUCGGCGGUUGGGGAUAGACUCGCGGCUUAUCAGCUUGUUGGUGGGGUAGUGGCUUACCAAGGCUUUGACGGGUAGCCGGCCUGAGAGGGUGACCGGCCACAUUGGGACUGAGAUACGGACCAGACUCCUACGGGAGGCAGCAGUGGGGAAUAUUGCACAAUGGGCGGAAGCCUGAUGCAGCAACGCCGCGUGCGGGAUGACGGCCUUCGGGUUGUAAACCGCUUUCGCCUGUGACGAAGCGUGAGUGACGGUAAUGGGUAAAGAAGCACCGGCUAACUACGUG
Molecule: ribosomal RNA, 468 nt
Filed under: uncultured bacterium
Lineage: Bacteria
Description: partial 16S ribosomal RNA
Rfam family: Bacterial small subunit ribosomal RNA
Source: RNAcentral